GCUCACUGCAACCUCCACCUCCUAGGAUCAAGCAAUCCUCUCACCUCAGCCUCCUGAGAAGCUGGAACCACAGGCAUGCAACACCAUGUCUGGCUAAUUUUUUUGAUUUUUUUUGUAGAGAUGGGGUUUCACUAUGUUGCCCAGGCUGGUCUCCAACUCCUGGACUCAAGGGAUUCUCCAGCCUCAGCCUCCCAAAGUGCUGGGAUUUUAGGGGGAAAUGUUAAUCAAUCCCACAAUAAGAUACCACUUCAUACCCCCUAUC
This 262-nucleotide long non-coding RNA is filed under the name Homo sapiens (human). Its description in RNAcentral is "HSALNT0060808". The record is from RNAcentral. Lineage: Eukaryota; Metazoa; Chordata; Mammalia; Primates; Hominidae.